RNAcentral lists this ribosomal RNA (1381 nucleotides) under uncultured bacterium. Its description in RNAcentral is "bacterial SSU rRNA". It matches the Rfam family "Bacterial small subunit ribosomal RNA". The record is from RNAcentral.
GAAUUCGCCCUUAGAGUUUGAUCUGGCUCAGGACGAACGCUGGCGGCGCGCCUAACACAUGCAAGUCGAACGAGCGAGAGAGAGCUUGCUUUCUCGAGCGAGUGGCGAACGGGUGAGUAACGCGUGAGGAACCUGCCUCAAAGAGGGGGACAACAGUUGGAAACGACUGCUAAUACCGCAUAAGCCCACGGCUCGGCAUCGAGCAGAGGGAAAAGGAGCAAUCCGCUUUGAGAUGGCCUCGCGUCCGAUUAGCUAGUUGGUGAGGUAAUGGCCCACCAAGGCGACGAUCGGUAGCCGGACUGAGAGGUUGAACGGCCACAUUGGGACUGAGACACGGCCCAGACUCCUACGGGAGGCAGCAGUGGGGAAUAUUGCACAAUGGGGGAAACCCUGAUGCAGCGACGCCGCGUGGAGGAAGAAGGUCUUCGGAUUGUAAACUCCUGUUGUUGGGGAAGAUAAUGACGGUACCCAACAAGGAAGUGACGGCUAACUACGUGCCAGCAGCCGCGGUAAAACGUAGGUCACAAGCGUUGUCCGGAAUUACUGGGUGUAAAGGGAGCGCAGGCGGGAAGACAAGUUGGAAGUGAAAUCUAUGGGCUCAACCCAUAAACUGCUUUCAAAACUGUUUUUCUUGAGUAGUGCAGAGGUAGGCGGAAUUCCCGGUGUAGCGGUGGAAUGCGUAGAUAUCGGGAGGAACACCAGUGGCGAAGGCGGCCUACUGGGCACCAACUGACGCUGAGGCUCGAAAGUGUGGGUAGCAAACAGGAUUAGAUACCCUGGUAGUCCACACCGUAAACGAUGAUUACUAGGUGUUGGAGGAUUGACCCCUUCAGUGCCGCAGUUAACACAAUAAGUAAUCCACCUGGGGAGUACGACCGCAAGGUUGAAACUCAAAGGAAUUGACGGGGGCCCGCACAAGCAGUGGAGUAUGUGGUUUAAUUCGACGCAACGCGAAGAACCUUACCAAGUCUUGACAUCCCUUGACAGGCAUAGAAAUAUGUUUUCUCUUCGGAGCAAGGAGACAGGUGGUGCAUGGUUGUCGUCAGCUCGUGUCGUGAGAUGUUGGGUUAAGUCCCGCAACGAGCGCAACCCUUAUGGUCAGUUACUACGCAAGAGGACUCUGGCCAGACUGCCGUUGACAAAACGGAGGAAGGUGGGGAUGACGUCAAAUCAUCAUGCCCUUUAUGACUUGGGCUACACACGUACUACAAUGGCGUUAAACAAAGAGAAGCAAGACCGCGAGGUGGAGCAAAACUCAGAAACAACGUCCCAGUUCGGACUGCAGGCUGCAACUCGCCUGCACGAAGUCGGAAUUGCUAGUAAUCGUGGAUCAGCAUGCCACGGUGAAUACGUUCCCGGGCCUUGCACACACAACCCGUCA